This 253-nucleotide ribosomal RNA is filed under the name uncultured bacterium. Its description in RNAcentral is "partial 16S ribosomal RNA". It matches the Rfam family "Bacterial small subunit ribosomal RNA", at positions 524 to 776 of the family's 1533-position model. The record is from RNAcentral.
UACAGAGGGGGCAAGCGUUGUUCGGAAUUACUGGGCGUAAAGGGCGCGUAGGCGGCCUGCUAAGUCGAACGUGAAAUCCCUGGGCUCAACCCAGGAACUGCGUCCGAUACUGGUUGGCUUGAAUCCGGGAGAGGGAUGUGGAAUUCCAGGUGUAGCAGUGAAAUGCGUAGAUAUCUGGAGGAACACCGGUGGCGAAGGCGGCAUCCUGGACCGGCAUUGACGCUGAGGCGCGAAAGCCAGGGGAGCAAACGGG